Molecule: ribosomal RNA, 468 nt
Filed under: uncultured bacterium
Lineage: Bacteria
Description: partial 16S ribosomal RNA
Rfam family: Bacterial small subunit ribosomal RNA (bases 15-371)
Source: RNAcentral
GACGAACGCUGGCGGCGUGCUUAACACAUGCAAGUCGAACGGAAAGGCCCUGCUUUUGUGGGGUGCUCGAGUGGCGAACGGGUGAGUAACACGUGAGUAACCUGCCCUUGACUUUGGGAUAACUUCAGGAAACUGGGGCUAAUACCGGAUAGGAGCUCCUGCUGCAUGGUGGGGGUUGGAAAGUUUCGGCGGUUGGGGAUGGACUCGCGGCUUAUCAGCUUGUUGGUGGGGUAGUGGCUUACCAAGGCUUUGACGGGUAGCCGGCCUGAGAGGGUGACCGGGGAAGGGGGGAAAGAGGGAAGGACAGGAGUACGACGGGAGGCAGCAGUGGGGAGUAGUGUAGAAUGGGGGGAGGUAUGAUGCAGCAACGCGGGGUGAGGGGGGGGGGCGUGGGGGGUGAAAAACGAUUGCACAUGUGACGAAGCGGGAGGGACGGUACUGGGUAAAGAGGAGCCGGCUAGCUACGUG